This 1354-nucleotide ribosomal RNA is filed under the name human gut metagenome. Its description in RNAcentral is "bacterial LSU rRNA". It matches the Rfam family "Bacterial large subunit ribosomal RNA", at positions 826 to 2055 of the family's 2925-position model. The record is from RNAcentral.
AGGCCAAUCAAAUUCCGUGAUAGCUGGUUCUCUCCGAAAUGCAUUUAGGUGCAGCGUCGGUUGAUUGCAUCGCGGGGGUAGAGCUACUGGAUGCUUGCGGGCCCGUGUCGGGUACCAAUAGCAGCCAAACUCCGAAUACCGUGGAUGUGUAUUCCGGCAGUGAGUCGGCGGGGGAUAAGCUCCGUCGUCGAGAGGGAGACAGCCCAGAUCGUCGUCUAAGGUCCCGAAGCGUGUGCUAAGUGGGAAAGGAUGUGGAGUCGCAUAGACAGCCAGGAGGUUGGCUCAGAAGCAGCCAUCCUUGAAAGAGUGCGUAACAGCUCACUGGUCUAGUGGUUCCGCGCCGACAAUGUAGCGGGGCUCAAGCACACCACCGAAGACGCGGCAACGGCCUUUGUGGCCGUUGGGUAGGAGAGCGUCCCGCGUGGGGCGAAGCGGCCGGGGAACCGUGCCGUGGACCGCGCGGGAGUGAGAAUGCAGACAUGAGUAGCGAGAGACGGGUGAGGAUCCCGUCCGCUGGAUGACCAAGGGUUCCGGGGCCACGUUCGUCGUCCCCGGGUGAGUCGGGUCCUAAGGCGAGGCCGACAGGCGUAGUCGAAUGGAUGAACGGGUGGAUAUUCCCGUACCGACCAUGGACCGGCAAAACCGAGACGGUGAGUACUAACCUCCGCCUCGUGGUGGUUCCUUCCUUCGGGUUGGUAUCGCCGCGUGGUGUUGGGAGCGUAGCCGCAGUAGGUCAGCGCAGGGGUGACACGGAAUGGGAGCCGGCCGCGGAGGUGGUUUUCCGUGGUCAAGCACGCAGCCAGUCAUGUAGGCAAAUCCGCAUGGUGCGCAUGGCGAGGUGUGAUGAUGGGAGCCGUUAUGGCUCGAUAUCCGGUUGUCCAGGCCGUCGAGAAAAGCCUCGGCGUGAGGGCCAUGGCCGCCCGUACCCCAAACCGACACAGGUGGUCAGGUAGAGAAUACCAAGGCGAUCGAGCGAAUCCUGGUCAAGGAACUCGGCAAAUCACUCCCGUGCCUUCGGUAUAAGGGAGACCCGCUGGGGUGAACCGGCUAGCCCGGGGAGCUUUGGUGGGUGGCACAGACCAGGGGGUAGCGACUGUUUACCAAAAACACAGGUGCAUGCGAAGGCGAAAGCCGCUGUAUAUGCACUGACGCCUGCCCGGUGCCGGAAGGUUAAGAGGAUCCGUCAGCCCCUUUGGGGUGAAGCGGUGAAUUCAAGCCCCGGUAAACGGCGGUGGUAACUAUAACCAUCCUAAGGUAGCGAAAUUCCUUGUCGGGUAAGUUCCGACCUGCACGAAUGGCGUAACGACUUCUCCGCUGUCUCGACCGUGAACUCGGCGAAAUUGCAGUACGAGUA